ACGGGUGAGUAAUGUCUGGGGAUCUGCCCGAUAGAGGGGGAUAACCACUGGAAACGGUGGCUAAUACCGCAUAACGUCGCAAGACCAAAGAGGGGGACCUUCGGGCCUCUCACUAUCGGAUGAACCCAGAUGGGAUUAGCUAGUAGGCGGGGUAACGGCCCACCUAGGCGACGAUCCCUAGCUGGUCUGAGAGGAUGACCAGCCACACUGGAACUGAGACACGGUCCAGACUCCUACGGGAGGCAGCAGUGGGGAAUAUUGCACAAUGGGCGCAAGCCUGAUGCAGCCAUGCCGCGUGCAUGAAGAAGGCCUUCGGGUUGUAAAGUACUUUCAGCGGGGAGGAAGGCGAUGUGGUUAAUAACCGCAUUGAUUGACGUUACCCGCAGAAGAAGCACCGGCUAACUCCGUGCCAGCAGCCGCGGUAAUACGGAGGGUGCAAGCGUUAAUCGGAAUUACUGGGCGUAAAGCGCACGCAGGCGGUCUGUUAAGUCAGAUGUGAAAUCCCCGGGCUUAACCUGGGAACUGCAUUUGAAACUGGCAGGCUUGAGUCUCGUAGAGGGGGGUAGAAUUCCA
RNAcentral lists this ribosomal RNA (573 nucleotides) under uncultured bacterium. RNAcentral's name for it is "bacterial SSU rRNA". It matches the Rfam family "Bacterial small subunit ribosomal RNA", at positions 102 to 671 of the family's 1533-position model. The record is from RNAcentral.